CACAAGCGAGAGAUUCCAGCAGCCCAAGGAACCCCCAACAUGGGAAGGAGUACUUCAUGCUGUUAAUCCCUUAGUUAGAUGCCCUCAAAAAGUUGCCUUCAUAAAAGCUGGUACCGAAGAUUGUCUCUACCUCGACGUUUAUGUGCCUACUUGGGCGAAACAAUCUCACAAGCUACCUGUAUUAGUUUUCUUUCACGGUGGAGCCUUUUUUAAGGGCAGCAAGGAAUUAUACAGUCCACAAUUUCUAGUCGUUAAGGGCGUGAUAGUAGUGACUGUUAACUACAGGUUAG
This 290-nucleotide unclassified non-coding RNA is filed under the name Melitaea cinxia (Glanville fritillary). RNAcentral describes it as "misc RNA ENSMCXG00005020102.1". The record is from RNAcentral. Lineage: Eukaryota; Metazoa; Arthropoda; Insecta; Lepidoptera; Nymphalidae.